GUCGUGGUGGCCGAGUGGUUAAGGCGUUGGACUCGAAAUCCAAUGGGGUCUCCCCGCACAGGUUCGAAUCCUGUUCACGACG
This 82-nucleotide transfer RNA is filed under the name Trichoplax adhaerens. RNAcentral describes it as "tRNA-Ser for anticodon CGA". It matches the Rfam family "tRNA". From Rfam's summary of the family: Transfer RNA (tRNA) molecules are approximately 80 nucleotides in length. Their secondary structure includes four short double-helical elements and three loops (D, anti-codon, and T loops). Further hydrogen bonds mediate the characteristic L-shaped molecular structure. tRNAs have two regions of fundamental functional importance: the anti-codon, which is responsible for specific mRNA codon recognition, and the 3' end, to which the tRNAs corresponding amino acid is attached (by aminoacyl-tRNA synthetases). tRNAs cope with the degeneracy of the genetic code in two manners: having more than one tRNA (with a specific anti-codon) for a particular amino acid; and 'wobble' base-pairing, i.e. permitting non-standard base-pairing at the 3rd anti-codon position. RNAcentral also lists the same sequence under 1 other name. Lineage: Eukaryota; Metazoa; Placozoa; Uniplacotomia; Trichoplacea; Trichoplacidae. The record is from Rfam by way of RNAcentral.